Molecule: long non-coding RNA, 484 nt
Organism: Eleginops maclovinus (Patagonian blennie)
Lineage: Eukaryota; Metazoa; Chordata; Actinopteri; Perciformes; Eleginopidae
Exons: 3
Source: RefSeq, a predicted model, not a curated record
CAAAAUAAAUUCCUUCUUUGCAUAUCCUGUUUGGGAUGCGUUCAACACGUCUGAGUAACAGGAAGGAGAUGCAUUCACACCCCUGCCGGUGGUUCCAAUGCUUUCAGGUGAUCUACAAGUUUGGUCACAUAAGGAUGACGCCUCCAAUUUACGAGCCCUCCGUCAAAUAUCUUCUGGAUGAGAGCUCCAGAGAAUCCAGACCAUAUUUCAGCUUACAGCACCGACUUCCAAGGCCUGUACUUGCAAUUACUCCAUUUGCAUCUGUCAAGACACUCGACCAUAGAAAUCUGCCCUCCAGCACUUUAGCACUUGCCCUUCCUGUUCACAGUUUAAGAGGCUCAUGGCAACAGUGUCAACUUCACUUGUAAACCAAAUGCUAUGGAUGAGAACAGAAAACCUCCUUGUCUGUUGGAAAGCAGUAAGAGAAGCUUUAAAAAGCAGAAUAACAACUGCUCAAUGUACUCGUACUGUUUCUUAACAUCAA